This 488-nucleotide ribosomal RNA is filed under the name uncultured bacterium. RNAcentral's name for it is "bacterial SSU rRNA". It matches the Rfam family "Bacterial small subunit ribosomal RNA", at positions 1 to 476 of the family's 1533-position model. The record is from RNAcentral.
AAUUCGCCCUUAGAGUUUGAUCAUGGCUCAGAUUGAACGCUGGCGGCAGGCCUAACACAUGCAAGUCGAAUGGUAACAGGAAACAGCUUGCUGUUUCGCUGACGAGUGGCGGACGGGUGAGUAAUGUCUGGGAAACUGCCUGAUGGAGGGGGAUAACUACUGGAAACGGUAGCUAAUACCGCAUAACGUCGCAAGACCAAAGAGGGGGACCUUCGGGCCUCUUGCCAUCAGAUGUGCCCAGAUGGGAUUAGCUAGUAGGUGGGGUAACGGCUCACCUAGGCGACGAUCCCUAGCUGGUCUGAGAGGAUGACCAGCCACACUGGAACUGAGACACGGUCCAGACUCCUACGGGAGGCAGCAGUGGGGAAUAUUGCACAAUGGGCGCAAGCCUGAUGCAGCCAUGCCGCGUGUAUGAAGAAGGCCUUCGGGUUGUAAAGUACUUUCAGCGGGGAGGAAGGGAGUAAAGUUAAUACCUUGCUCAUGACGUA